RNAcentral lists this ribosomal RNA (484 nucleotides) under uncultured bacterium. Its description in RNAcentral is "partial 16S ribosomal RNA". It matches the Rfam family "Bacterial small subunit ribosomal RNA", at positions 30 to 507 of the family's 1533-position model. The record is from RNAcentral.
AUUGAACGCUGGCGGCAGGCCUAACACAUGCAAGUCGAGCGGAUGAAGGGAGCUUGCUCCUGGAUUCAGCGGCGGACGGGUGAGUAAUGCCUAGGAAUCUGCCUGGUAGUGGGGGAUAACGUCCGGAAACGGGCGCUAAUACCGCAUACGUCCUGAGGGAGAAAGUGGGGGAUCUUCGGACCUCACGCUAUCAGAUGAGCCUAGGUCGGAUUAGCUAGUUGGUGGGGUAAAGGCCUACCAAGGCGACGAUCCGUAACUGGUCUGAGAGGAUGAUCAGUCACACUGGAACUGAGACACGGUCCAGACUCCUACGGGAGGCAGCAGUGGGGAAUAUUGGACAAAGGGCGAAAGCCUGAUCCAGCCAUGCCGCGUGUGUGAAGAAGGUCUUCGGAUUGUAAAGAACUUUAAGUUGGGAGGAAGGGCAGUAAGUUAAUACCUUGCUGUUUUGACGGUACCAACAGAAUAAGCACCGGCUAACUUCGUG